RNAcentral lists this long non-coding RNA (525 nucleotides) under Equus caballus (horse). Its description in RNAcentral is "lncRNA (ENSECAG00000043659.2)". Lineage: Eukaryota; Metazoa; Chordata; Mammalia; Perissodactyla; Equidae. The record is from RNAcentral.
AGAAUAAAUACCCCUGAUCCAGCAGAAAAAUGUGCUGUAAAGAGCUGAGCCAUACAAAAUUAGAAGGACAUUCUAUUUGUCCCAAAGAACAAGUCUGAAAUCAAUCUUGGGGUAAUGGAAGAGGAAUAAGUGACAUCCAUAAUUGAUGGGUUAGCAAGAAAAAAGUACAUUGGGGAGUCUAGUGUCCUACUGAAAGUUACAGUCACAACAAUGAGCAUGUUUCCCACCAUGGUCAAAAUGUAGACAAACAAGAAAAUAGCAAAAAGGACCUGUUGCUCUUUUGGAUCCUGUGUGAGGCCCAAGAGGACAAAUUUUUCUAGGGGCAGGAUGAUCAUGGCAUCGACAGCUUCAGCAUCUCCUUCAGCAUCCUUGUCCUGAGCACGUGUGUUUCUGUAUUCGCAGGGAAAUCAAACCAACAACUGGAUCCUCUUCAAGUCUUUGGAGUGGGGAAGGUCGCUGCAGGACUUGCAGACAUGAAAAUACAUGGAACAAAGAAGAAGACUAUCACAGUGAUGUGGGAAGCAC